Molecule: ribosomal RNA, 117 nt
Filed under: Ornithorhynchus anatinus (platypus)
Lineage: Eukaryota; Metazoa; Chordata; Mammalia; Monotremata; Ornithorhynchidae
Source: RNAcentral
GCGCGCGGAUACCACCCUGAACGCGCCCCAUCUCGUCUGAUCUCGGAAGCUGAGCGGGGUCGGGCCUGGUUAGUACUUGGAUGGGAGACCGCCUGGGAAUGCCGGGUGCCGUAGGCU